Molecule: long non-coding RNA, 1584 nt
Organism: Grammomys surdaster
Lineage: Eukaryota; Metazoa; Chordata; Mammalia; Rodentia; Muridae
Exons: 4
Source: RefSeq, a predicted model, not a curated record
UCCUCUGCUCCAAAGCCGCUCCCAGCGCUAGGGGGCGUGAGUGGUCUGCCUGGCUCGGCCCACUCUUGAUUUCUGUCUCCACAAAUAGCAGGAGCACAAACACCGAGGUUAUGCCUGUCCACUUUCUUUUCCAGGAGACACUCUUCCUUUGUUCCUGUGACUACCUUCUUCAGGAUUGGUACGUGAUGUGCAAGCAAAUAUAAUGAGGGCACCAAGUGAGAGCUUGCCCAUUCCUCAAAGGCUCAGUGGGAGAGAAUGGUGAACUGACCAAGAGUUGGAGAAUUCGAGACUACUGGGAAAGACUACUCAAUCAAAUUCAAUUAGCUGAAUUUGAUUAAGCUGGCCACCUGACUGCACCCACCUGAUCAAGAUGAGAGACUGAGACCCAGGCUUAAAGGGAAGGGGAAGUUUUAAAGGCAAAACCACACUUGGUUUAUUUAUGAGGAAUCUGUAGCUAUGUGAAGAAAUGCCUUACUUCCACCUUUCGAGCAACCAUAAGCAUGUUUACAGAAGCCAGGGCAAGCAGUUAAUCACUGCUCGAUAAUCACACAUCUCUGGGAAGUGAGUAAAGAGACUGAAAAUUCCCUGGAAUUGUUGCUGGGUUCUGCUGAUAGACUGAAGCCCUAAGGUGGUUCUCUUGAGUAAAGUAGAUUCGAUUUGGGCCAUACUACAUUCUCCACUGGUUCUGGAUCACGUGGAUCAGAUCACUGAUUCAUACUCAUGUUGGGCUAAAUGGUGCUACUGGGCCUGUAGGAACUCAGAAGUUGGAAGCUGUGGUUCCUUGGGGCUAAUGCGAAGCUCCUAGGGCUGUUGAUCCAGUCAUUCCUGUUCCUUUAAGAAGAAAAAUGAAAAUACCUGAGACCAGCCUCUUGUUUCUACUGACAACUCUGUCAGUCAAAAGGUGUUCCCUACCUUCAGCUCCAUUGUAUAUGUACGCCUGGGGGAAUACAUGAACAAGUACACAGAAACUGCCAUCUACUGAUGCUAAUUCCAAAUCCUCUGCAGUGAGUAAUACAUGUAAUUGAGGCCAAAGGUACAGGCCCUCAGAGUCCCAGCUGGCACAAGAAAGUAGAUCCUCAUGUCCUCAGAUCUACAGUACAGAUCGGUCUAGAGUUGUCAGAUCUUGUCUUUUACUGUAACCAACUGGUUGAUAUGGAAGCGUUAUUCUUCUUUGAGACUCAAGACACAAAGACCACCUUUCUCUGCUGUUAGUAAAGCCAAUCCUCACCAAUUUUGAAGCACUAUGGUGACCAGUGAGUCUGUUUGGCCCUGGAGGGUAAGGAAGGUCUGAGCUACUUGUUGAAAACUGAUGCUGAACAUCCUUUCAUCUGUGUGGUCCAGGAAAACAUCAUUUGACAUAACCAACUUUCCAAAGGAACUAGAAGUUUCCAUUUAAGACUGAGACAAUGGUCUUCUUAUAAUUACUUCCUACAGAACUGGGGUGAAGAAUUCCUGUUUGGGGCCCAAGGAAAAGAGUGGUUAGUCUGAAAAAAAGCUAGCUGUAGCAUUGUUGCCCAGUCUUUGGGUUUAUCCAGUCUCUGUAUUGUGUGACUGUGGGACUGCAUAAGGGUAUCCUGGGUCAUG